Molecule: ribosomal RNA, 468 nt
Filed under: uncultured bacterium
Lineage: Bacteria
Description: partial 16S ribosomal RNA
Rfam family: Bacterial small subunit ribosomal RNA
Source: RNAcentral
GAUGAACGCUGGCGGCGUGCUUAACACAUGCAAGUCGAGCGGAAAGGCCCUGCGUUUGUGUGGUUCUCGUUUGGCGAACAGGGGAGUGACACGUGAGGAUACUGCCCUUGUCUUUGUGAGAACUUCUGGGAACUGCGGCGAAUACCGGAGAGGAGCUUCUGCUGCGUAGGGUGGGUAGGAGAGUGUCGGCGUUGGUGGAUGGAUUCGCUGCUUAUCAGCUGGUUUGGGGAGUAGUUACUUACCAAGGUUUUGGCGGGUAGCCGGCCUGAGAGAGUUACCGGCCACAUUGGGACUGAGAUACGGCCCAGACUCCUACGGGCGGCAGCAGUGGGGAAUAUUGCACAAUGGGCGGAAGCCUGAUGCAGCAACGCCGCGUGCGGGAUGACGGCCUUCGGGUUGUAAACCGCUUUCGCCUGUGACGAAGAGUGAGUGACGGUAAUGGGUAAAGAAGCACCGGCUAACUACGUG